This 377-nucleotide long non-coding RNA is filed under the name Trifolium pratense (red clover). RNAcentral describes it as "long non-coding RNA (TPRA_LNC009169)". The record is from RNAcentral. Lineage: Eukaryota; Viridiplantae; Streptophyta; Magnoliopsida; Fabales; Fabaceae.
CUCAAUAUGGUCUCUAAGUUGAUAAGAUAUGGUAUGAUGCAAUUUUGACCUUAACAGCUUGAUUUAAUGGCCGACUAACAUGCAUCAAGUAUAUGAAAGCAGAAAAAUACAACAUUCAUAACACAAAUUAAUAUCGGUGAUUUUAAUGAUAUGUUAUCGCUAGAAGAUAAAAUAGACGGAAGUGAGUAACCACAGUGGCUCAUUCGAGGAUAUAGAGAAGCAGUGCAAGAUAGUAGACAUCACCGGAAAUGGAUUUGAUGCAGUAACUGCGUGACACAGUUACUCACCUAGACCGGCUGAUCUGGAAUUGAUAGAUAGGAUGGUUUUUACUUGAUUUUGAUGAUAUUUAAUUUUAACCGCCUGAUUGAUGAUCAACG